Molecule: ribosomal RNA, 466 nt
Filed under: uncultured bacterium
Lineage: Bacteria
Description: partial 16S ribosomal RNA
Rfam family: Bacterial small subunit ribosomal RNA
Source: RNAcentral
GAUGAACGCUGGCGGCGUGCUUAACACAUGCAAGUCGAACGAUGAAGCCCAGCUUGCUGGGUGGAUUAGUGGCGAACGGGUGAGUAACACGUGAGUAACCUGCCCUUAACUCUGGGAUAAGCCUGGGAAACUGGGUCUAAUACCGGAUAGGAGCGCCUACCGCAUGGUGGGUGUUGGAAAGAUUUAUCGGUUUUGGAUGGACUCGCGGCCUAUCAGCUUGUUGGUGAGGUAAUGGCUCACCAAGGCGACGACGGGUAGCCGGCCUGAGAGGGUGACCGGCCACACUGGGACUGAGACACGGCCCAGACUCCUACGGGAGGCAGCAGUGGGGAAUAUUGCACAAUGGGCGAAAGCCUGAUGCAGCGGCGCCGCGUGAGGGAUGACGGCCUUCGGGUUGUAAACCUCUUUCAGUAGGGAAGAAGCGAAAGUGACGGUACCUGCAGAAGAAGCACCGGCUAACUACGUG